Molecule: ribosomal RNA, 932 nt
Filed under: Candidatus Melainabacteria bacterium GWF2_32_7
Lineage: Bacteria; Bacillati; Candidatus Melainabacteria
Description: bacterial SSU rRNA
Rfam family: Bacterial small subunit ribosomal RNA
Source: RNAcentral
AAUGGAGAGUUUGAUCCUGGCUCAGGACGAACGCUGGCGGUGUGCUUAAUACAUGCAAGUCGAACGAUAAGGCCCUUUCGGGGGUACAUAAGUGGCGGACGGGUGAGUAACACGUAGGUAAUCUACCUUGAGGCGAGGGAUAACAUUGGGAAACCAGUGCUAAUACCUCAUAUGUGCAGAGUUGAAAUACUUUGCAUGAAAGUUCCGGCGCCUUUAGAUGAGCCUGCGGCUGAUUAGCUAGUUGGUGGGGUAAAGGCCUACCAAGGCGACGAUCAGUAGCUGGUUUGAGAGGAUGACCAGCCACAAUGGGACUGAGACACGGCCCAUACUCCUACGGGAGGCAGCAGUAGGGAAUAUUGCGCAAUGGGCGAAAGCCUGACGCAGCAACACCGCGUGAGGGAUGAAGCUUUUUGGAGUGUAAACCUCUGUCAGUGGGGAAGAAAUAUGACUGUACCCACAGAGGAAGCAUCGGCUAACUACGUGCCAGCAGCCGCGGUAAGACGUAGGAUGCAAGCGUUGUCCGGAUUUAUUGGGCGUAAAGAGUUCGUAGGUGGUUUGUCAAGUCUGGUGUUAAAGCCCGGAGCUCAACUCCGGAUCGGCACUGGAUACUGGCAGACUUGAGUACAGGAGAGGCAAGGGGAAUUCCCAGUGUAGCGGUGAAAUGCGUAGAUAUUGGGAGGAACACCAGUGGCGUAAGCGCCUUGCUGGACUGUUACUGACGCUGAGGAACGAAAGCCAGGGGAGCAAAUGGGAUUAGAUACCCCAGUAGUCCUGGCCGUAAACGAUGGAUACUAGGUGUCGUGGGUAUCGACCCCCGCGGUGCCGUAGCUAACGCGUUAAGUAUCCCGCCUGGGGAGUACGCACGCAAGUGUGAAACUCAAAGGAAUUGACGGGGGCCCGCACAAGCGGUGGAACAUGUGGUUUAAUUCGAA